AUACGGAGGAUCCAAGCGUUAUCCGGAAUCAUUGGGUUUAAAGGGUCCGUAGGUCGGUCUUAUAAGUCAGUGGUGAAAGCCCAUCGCUCAACGAUGGAACUGCCAUUGAUACUGUAAGACUUGAAUUUUUGUGAAGUAACUAGAAUAUGUAGUGUAGCGGUGAAAUGCUUAGAUAUUACAUGGAAUACCAAUUGCGAAGGCAGGUUACUAACAAACGAUUGACGCUGAUGGACGAAAGCGUGGGGAGC
This 248-nucleotide ribosomal RNA is filed under the name uncultured bacterium. RNAcentral describes it as "partial 16S ribosomal RNA". It matches the Rfam family "Bacterial small subunit ribosomal RNA", at positions 523 to 769 of the family's 1533-position model. The record is from RNAcentral.